Mauremys reevesii (Reeves's turtle) is the source of this 472-nucleotide long non-coding RNA. RefSeq lists it as uncharacterized. The record is from RefSeq and is a predicted model, not a curated record. The transcript is spliced from 3 exons. NCBI's taxonomy places the organism in Eukaryota, Metazoa, Chordata, Testudines, Geoemydidae.
UCUUGAGAAAGACUGCUGGAGAGCUGAGCAUUGGGAGCGUAGAAGGGCUGGUGGAAGGAGUACAAAAUCUGCCACAAUAGAACAGUGAUCCAUCUAGUACAUUAUCCAGUCUCCAAUAAUGUGCAGUGCCUGAUGCUUCAGGAGAAAGGAUAUCUAUUGUUUAAUCUCCAGACAGGAACUACCAGCUGGCAAAUGGCGGAUCGCCUCUGAAUUUAAGCAGAUUUAGUAGGACUUCAGUGGAUGUUUAUAGUGCUUAAGCUAAUUGGAAAUAAGAUUUACAAUGCUUCUUUUAACCAAUGCCAUUCUAGAUUUGGAGGAGGGAAUUACUGAGACCUUACUAAGACUAUCAUCUAAUUUGCUCAUGAGUAUAACCUCUUGAGCACACAGAGUUGCCUCUACUAAUCUAGGUAACACAGUAUGUUUGAUCUUUAGGCUAUUACUUCACAUAGUAGUAAUGGAAUGAAAGGCCCCC